This 482-nucleotide ribosomal RNA is filed under the name uncultured bacterium. Its description in RNAcentral is "partial 16S ribosomal RNA". It matches the Rfam family "Bacterial small subunit ribosomal RNA", at positions 30 to 507 of the family's 1533-position model. The record is from RNAcentral.
AUUGGACGCUGGCGGCAUGCCUUACACAUGCAAGUCGAACGGUAACAGGUCUUCGGAUGCUGACGAGUGGCGAACGGGUGAGUAAUACAUCGGAACGUGCCCGAUCGUGGGGGAUAACGCAGCGAAAGCUGUGCUAAUACCGCAUACGAUCUACGGAUGAAAGCGGGGGAUCGCAAGACCUCGCGCGGACGGAGCGGCCGAUGGCAGAUUAGGUAGUUGGUGGGAUAAAAGCUUACCAAGCCGACGAUCUGUAGCUGGUCUGAGAGGACGACCAGCCACACUGGGACUGAGACACGGCCCAGACUCCUACGGGAGGCAGCAGUGGGGAAUUUUGGACAAAGGGCGCAAGCCUGAUCCAGCCAUGCCGCGUGCAGGAUGAAGGCCUUCGGGUUGUAAACUGCUUUUGUACGGAACGAAAAAGCUCUCUCUAAUACAGGGGGUGAAUGACGGUACCGUAAGAAUAAGCACCGGCUAACUACGUG